GUGGGGAAUAUUGGACAAUGGGGGGAACCCUGAUCCAGCCAUGCCGCGUGUGUGAAGAAGGCCUUUUGGUUGUAAAGCACUUUAAGCGAGGAGGAGGCUACCGAGAUUAAUACUCUCGGAUAGUGGACGUUACUCGCAGAAUAAGCACCGGCUAACUCUGUGCCAGCAGCCGCGGUAAUACAGAGGGUGCAAGCGUUAAUCGGAUUUACUGGGCGAAAAGCGCGCGUAGGUGGCCAAUUAAGUCAAAUGUGAAAUCCCCGAGCUUAACUUGGGAAUUGCAUUGGAUACUGGUUGGCUAGAGUAUGGGAGAGGAUGGUAGAAUUCCAGGUGUAGCGGUGAAAUGCGUAGAGAUCUGGAGGAAUACCGAUGGCGAAGGCAGCCAUCUGGCCUAAUACUGACACUGAGGUGCGAAAGCAUGGGGAGCAAACAGGAUUAGAAACCCGGGUAGUCC
Molecule: ribosomal RNA, 451 nt
Filed under: uncultured bacterium
Lineage: Bacteria
Description: partial 16S ribosomal RNA
Rfam family: Bacterial small subunit ribosomal RNA
Source: RNAcentral